RNAcentral lists this ribosomal RNA (960 nucleotides) under Triticum aestivum (bread wheat). RNAcentral describes it as "partial small subunit ribosomal RNA". Lineage: Eukaryota; Viridiplantae; Streptophyta; Magnoliopsida; Poales; Poaceae. The record is from RNAcentral.
AUGGCGCCCGCGCUGGCGACCCUGCAGGUCGCUGCCCCACUCCCUCAUCCCGUGCCACCGGAGCCCAGCAGGUCGACGACCGCUCCUCCUCUGCCUCGCGUCGCCCUCCGCCGUCAAGUGCCGCCCCCGUCCGGAUCCGUGAGGCCCUGCCAUGGCUGCGCCUCCCUGCUGCCGAAGCCUCGCCGCCAAGUCCCGCCUGCGCCCUCGGGACUCGCGGGACCCCUUCCUCUAUUCCAAGUCCGCCGGCCACAGGUGCCGCUGCCGGCUACCGCCCCAUCACCAUGCGGUCCUCAUCCACCUCGGUCCCAUGGCGCUGCAGCCCCCGUCGUUUCCCUGCCUCUCUUUUGCGCCAGGGACUCGAGCCCUCCACCGCGCAUCGCCGCCUUGCUGCCUUCCCCGCCAUCGGCUUGCUACCUUCACCGGACCUCCUCCGCCUACAAGGCCGCCGCUGCUCUGGCCGCAACCACCUCCGGUCUUCAACCCCGACGCCCGACCCGGCCAUCUUCGGUUGCUACCUGCUGGCCUUGUCGCUCCUCUUGUCACUCUCAAGACGCGGCAACCAGGGAAGCCCAAGGCCGCCUUUGUGGUUUUCGCCAAGUUUGUCCACCACCAAACGAGUCGGAGAUCCAUCGAUGCCUCUCCUUGGUGGAAGCUGACAAGUACCACUGGUUACGCCAAGUUCGACUAUGCGGGUUCACCAAGUACUCCACCGGCAUGACCGAUGCCGAACGACUUCAUACCGAAAAGACAAGUUCCUCUUCGAACCGUGUAUGCCUACCGUCGCAAGAACGGGACCGGAAAGUCCGAAGACCCAAGUACCACGACACCGAUGACAUGAACAUCUACGGAAUGUGUAUGACUACACGGCGUUGCGCCAAGUACCCCGAUGGCCGGAGCCCUCGGAUCCAUCAAGCUCGUCUACAUAUCGAGAACAACUACCGUAUCCGAAGAACCGUGUAA